GGAUACAGCCAUACCACCCUGAACAUGCCUGAUCCUGUCUGAACUUGGAAGCUAAGCAGGGUCAGGUCUGAUUAGUACUUGGAGGAGAGAUCACCUGGGAAUACCAGGUGCUGUAGGCU
This 119-nucleotide ribosomal RNA is filed under the name Varanus komodoensis (Komodo dragon). Lineage: Eukaryota; Metazoa; Chordata; Lepidosauria; Squamata; Varanidae. The record is from RNAcentral.